Molecule: non-coding RNA, 1895 nt
Organism: Oryza sativa Japonica Group (Japanese rice)
Lineage: Eukaryota; Viridiplantae; Streptophyta; Magnoliopsida; Poales; Poaceae
Source: RefSeq, a predicted model, not a curated record
CACUAUACUAUUAAUAUAUAGUCCCACUUGUCAUACACACUGCAUCUUGAAGUCCGUGUUGUAGCUGGUUACAGAUCUGUAGCCCGCUGCUCUUCUUUCUUAUCUUUUAUCUCAUUAAAAUAUAUUUAUAGCUGGCUAAUAGCAUGCUAUUGUACCUGCUCUCACCCUGUCACCAUCGUCGUCCCCGUCACCGAGCGCCGCCGCCUCCGCCUCCGCCUCUACCACCCCCUCGCGCUGCCACCUUCGCCUCUGCCUCCUCUGCCUCGCGUGGCCGUCGCCGGGCGCGCCGCCUCCGGCUCACGCCGCCGCUGCCGGCCAUCGCCUCUGGCCGCCGACGUCCGGAUCCGACCUCCCAUGUGUUUGGGGGACGCGGAUCUGACCGCCGCAGCGUCGUCCUCCGCUAUCGUCGCCAUCGCCGAGCGUCGCCGCUGCAUCCUUCGCCGCACCUCCGUCAUUCACCGCCAAAGACCGCUGUGAGCGGUCGACCUCUGGUGGAGCCGGCCGUCAUUGCCGCAACCUCGUGGGCUACAGGACGGUUGUCCGUCGAUUUGAGGAGGGAGAGGCGGCAACAGCAAUAAAGAGGGGAGAGGCCUGCCGGCGGCUGUAUGGUGGAGAAGCGCCGCCGCAGCCCGCAUCCCCUCCUCUCGCCCCUCCCUCUCCGACCCGGGCGAUUCGCAAGCCGCCGCCACCGCAUGGGCUCCAGGAACCACCAUCGUCGUGUCCCCUGGUCUCCUCAAUCCUCCUGUGCGCCACUCAUGCCGGCGAGAUGAGAUCGGAUGCCAGCGAGAUGAGAUUGGCGGCAGUGGGCAACUCCAAGAAGUCGAGAUUGAGGGCUCUGGCUACCGCCUUCGAUAACAUCUGGCCUGGUGCUGCGCCUGCCUCGGCAUAUCUGGCGAUGGUGUCGACCUCAGCGAUGACAUGGAUUGCGCUCCGACAUUUGUGGCGGAUCAAGCACACAUCAAUGGAGCCCCACUUCUCCUCCCCCACCAGCAAGGGCAGAUGGAGGCGGUGUGCGCCGGUGGCUGUAGAUCAAAUGACGACCUUGACGAUGAGGCAGCCACGAUCUCGUCUUCCCUGCUCAGUUCUUAUUCUCAUUCUCCCUGCUUGCAUCAUCCUCAAGCUUUUAAACCAAUGCUUAGCUGGCUCCUACACUGAGCGGCAAUGGUGGCACCAAAGUGCUGUCCAGGUGAUCAGUUCGCCUGUGGAUUUGUUGUUGAAAACACCACCAGGCAGCACGUGGUGGCCGAUGGUCGCGCUUCCACCAACUUCUUCAGAGUGUGGAUCCAGUCUUGAUGUUGGGGAGCUACUACUUUUCCUACAGUCUUGAUGUUUUGAUUCAUUUGGAGUUUUAGUUUGCUGUGCUCUGAUUGUGUAUUUUUCUUUAGGUUUGAUCAGCAUCUUCUGCUCGGUGCCAUUCCAUUCCACAAGACCUUCUGUUGAAGGAGCUUGGAGUUUGCAGUGUCGUGAACUGAACAAAUCCUACGAGUGGCUGGUUCCCAUGUGCCUGUAAGAGGUUCCUGGAAUUGAAAGCCUGGUGUUACCAACUAGAGAUUAUCUUUGUAUACCAUAAUUUGAGGACCUUUGCCGUGCGGCUGACUUCGUUCAAAACCACCGUUGGCAGGCUGCUGGGCAAGCUAGGAUUCAGGAGCUUGGAGCUGGGAGGCUGAUAUUAUCCCUCCUGUUCUCUGCUUCUAUGGCUGGCGGAGGAUGAGAUAAAGUGGAGUUGGGGGCAAGUGAGGGCAGUGAGGGUAUGAGGCUAUGAGCUACCUCAUUAUUUUUCAGGCAUUGCCUGAUUUUCUCCAAUUGUUAACUUACAUGCCAUUCUUUAGUUUUAGAGUGUUUAUAUAGGUGUAAUUCACUCAAUAUGUAUUUAUAUUACUCCUUUCUUGGGCAAA